Molecule: long non-coding RNA, 1177 nt
Filed under: Canis lupus familiaris (dog)
Lineage: Eukaryota; Metazoa; Chordata; Mammalia; Carnivora; Canidae
Description: lncRNA (ENSCAFG00040000612.1)
Source: RNAcentral
AAUAUUUCCUAUCAUCCUAUAAGUGGAUUGUCGUAUUGUAAAUGUCUGCCGAUACUUGCUCACCAGGUUUUGAAGGGGAGCUGGUGGAGUUCCUGAAAGUGACAUAAAAACUUGGUGAAGGAUCCAGACAACGAUCCACAGUUGUAAGGCUGAUGGAGCUCGAAGGGAAUUCAGGGGACCCUCAGUUGCUACUUCCUGGCUUUAAAUGGAGACGUGCCCACAGCAGCUGGUCUCAGCAUAAGGAAAUAGACUCCAGUGACAACUCAGUGGUCUUUGGGAAGGAAUGCUCUGGAUGAUGAAAGUAGCUGCCAGGGGACUUUUCACGUUAAAGGAAACAGAGCAGGAGGUGAGUGCUGGGAAAUGAAAAUACAACGUUUUUGUGUGUGUAGCUUGUACUUAGGGUUUCUCUCAUCACAAACACAGAUGUGUAUGCCCACAAUGUAAGGUGACAUUCAGGGUAGGUAGUGAUCAGUGUGCAGAGGCCAGGGACACUCAGCGGGGACCCUCGCAAGUGGCACUCUUGGAGAGGGACACCCUUCCUUUCUCAAGAAUUGUCUCUUCAGUCGGUAAAUCAAAGGAACAUCCAGUAGAUUCUUAAGAGGGGCUGGAGAAGCCCUGGGGGGCAGUGGCUAUUUACUCAGGAAAAAGGAAACAUUGAUUUUUGACAGUCAAUUUUGUCCUGUUCAGUGGAGUGCCAGGACCAGCUUGUACCAACGCUUGAGGACCGCUUGUUACCUUUCCAGGAAUUUUGUGAGCUGGUUUUUUAAUCACAGCAGUUAAUCACAUGUUAAAUAAUGUAAACUUGUAUUAAAAAUACGCACAAGUGAUAAAUACCCCAAACUCGACGGUCAUCAUUUAUUUUAAUACACUUAACUGUUACUUGUGCUUGUGAGGUUGUUCAAGCCUCUCAUGUCGGGAUGGUGGAAGUGCUGUGUGAUGGUUGACUACUGUGCAUCUCUUCCCCAUUCCCUGUUUAGUGACAUGUUUUCACCCUGAAAUUGGUUGGCUAUAAACUGAGCUUUCCUCCCAGUCUGUGAAUGGCCAAACUGGUUCAUUCUGGCUGGGUAUGUGCCCGGCUCCUUCUAUGGAUUUCUUUUUGUGCUGAGCCAUCUCUGCUUACCAGGACUUACCAGUAACUUGGCUGCGGAUGUCGCUGAGAUGAUAGAAGCCAUGAAUU